AGAGUUUGAUCCUGGCUCAGGAUGAACGCUAGCUACAGGCUUAACACAUGCAAGUCGGAGGGGAAACGAUAUUGGAAGCUUGCUUCCGAUAGGCGUCGACCGGCGUACGGGUGAGUAACGCGUAUCCAACCUGCCCACCACUUGGGGAUAACCUUGCGAAAGUAAGACUAAUACCCAAUGACGUCNCUAGAAGACAUCUGAAAGAGAUUAAAGAUUUAUCGGUGAUGGAUGGGGAUGCGUCUGAUUAGCUUGUUGGCGGGGUAACGGCCCACCAAGGCGACGAUCAGUAGGGGUUCUGAGAGGAAGGCCCCCCACAUUGGAACUGAGACACGGUCCAAACUCCUACGGGAGGCAGCA
This 357-nucleotide ribosomal RNA is filed under the name uncultured bacterium. RNAcentral's name for it is "bacterial SSU rRNA". It matches the Rfam family "Bacterial small subunit ribosomal RNA", at positions 8 to 353 of the family's 1533-position model. The record is from RNAcentral.